Molecule: ribosomal RNA, 704 nt
Filed under: soil bacterium Gent-S2N-M1LLLSSL-2
Lineage: Bacteria
Description: bacterial SSU rRNA
Rfam family: Bacterial small subunit ribosomal RNA
Source: RNAcentral
CGAACGGGUGAGUACACGUGAGUAACCUGCCCUUGACUCUGGGAUAAGCCUGGGAAACUGGGUCUAAUACCGGAUACGACCAUUGCCCGCAUGGGUUGGUGGUGGAAAGCUUUUGUGGUUUUGGAUGGACUCGCGGCCUAUCAGCUUGUUGGUGAGGUAAUGGCUCACCAAGGCGACGACGGGUAGCCGGCCUGAGAGGGUGACCGGCCACACUGGGACUGAGACACGGCCCAGACUCCUACGGGAGGCAGCAGUGGGGAAUAUUGCACAAUGGGCGAAAGCCUGAUGCAGCGACGCCGCGUGAGGGAUGACGGCCUUCGGGUUGUAAACCUCUUUCAGUAGGGAAGAAGCGAAAGUGACGGUACCUGCAGAAGAAGCGCCGGCUAACUACGUGCCAGCAGCCGCGGUAAUACGUAGGGCGCAAGCGUUAUCCGGAAUUAUUGGGCGUAAAGAGCUCGUAGGCGGUUUGUCGCGUCUGCUGUGAAAGGCCAGGGCUCAACCCUGGUUCUGCAGUGGGUACGGGCAGACUUGAGUGAUGUAGGGGAGACUGGAAUUCCUGGUGUAGCGGUGAAAUGCGCAGAUAUCAGGAGGAACACCGAUGGCGAAGGCAGGUCUCUGGGCAUUAACUGACGCUGAGGAGCGAAAGCAUGGGGAGCGAACAGGAUUAGAUACCCUGGUAGUCCAUGCCGUAAACGUUGGGCACU